GGUACCUUAGCUCAGUUGGUAGAGCAAUGGACUGAAAAUCCAUGUGUCCCUGGUUCGAUUCCUGGAGGUACCACAA
This 76-nucleotide transfer RNA is filed under the name Flavobacterium sp. RNAcentral describes it as "tRNA-Phe". It matches the Rfam family "tRNA". From Rfam's summary of the family: Transfer RNA (tRNA) molecules are approximately 80 nucleotides in length. Their secondary structure includes four short double-helical elements and three loops (D, anti-codon, and T loops). Further hydrogen bonds mediate the characteristic L-shaped molecular structure. tRNAs have two regions of fundamental functional importance: the anti-codon, which is responsible for specific mRNA codon recognition, and the 3' end, to which the tRNAs corresponding amino acid is attached (by aminoacyl-tRNA synthetases). tRNAs cope with the degeneracy of the genetic code in two manners: having more than one tRNA (with a specific anti-codon) for a particular amino acid; and 'wobble' base-pairing, i.e. permitting non-standard base-pairing at the 3rd anti-codon position. Lineage: Bacteria; Pseudomonadati; Bacteroidota; Flavobacteriia; Flavobacteriales; Flavobacteriaceae. RNAcentral also lists the same sequence under 29 other names. The record is from RNAcentral.